RNAcentral lists this ribosomal RNA (301 nucleotides) under uncultured bacterium. RNAcentral's name for it is "partial 16S ribosomal RNA". It matches the Rfam family "Bacterial small subunit ribosomal RNA", at positions 509 to 807 of the family's 1533-position model. The record is from RNAcentral.
CAGCAGCCGCGGGAAAACAGAGGGUGCGAGCGUUAAUCGGAUUUACUGGGCGUAAAGCGUGCGUAGGCGGCUUUUUAAGUCGGAUGUGAAAUCCCUGAGCUUAACUUAGGAAUUGCAUUCGAUACUGGGAAGCUAGAGUAUGGGAGAGGAUGGUAGAAUUCCAGGUGUAGCGGUGAAAUGCGUAGAGAUCUGGAGGAAUACCGAUGGCGAAGGCAGCCAUCUGGCCUAAUACUGACGCUGAGGUACGAAAGCAUGGGGAGCAAACAGGAUUAGAGACCCCGGUAGUCCCUGUCUCUUAUAC